UCGAGCUCAAAGCUUAGGGAAUUAGUUUGGUUGUCCACGGAUCGUGCCAUUCUCAAUAUAGAAGAUGCUUUCCGUCUAGAAGAGAAGGUGGUUGAGCUUCUACGCACCAGAAUCGAUCCAUUGAAAAGCGAAGUUUCCCAUUUGUCGCUUAAUUGGGAACUCGAUCAAACUCUAGCAUUUUGUCCAAAGCCAAUUCUGGUAUUCCUACAGUGAUGGGGUUGUUUCUUUCACUGAAACUAUGAGAUGUUUGCAUCUCUGAAGGUUAGUAGGCAAGGAUAGAAGUCUGCUAAAUUUGCUAUGUUAUUUUGUCUUUUGGAAUUCCUUACGCAACUUGCUUGCUUAUACUCUUACAUAGAAGUACCUCCUGGUUAAAUAUUGGAUUGUUUGUUU
This is a long non-coding RNA of Asparagus officinalis (garden asparagus), 390 nucleotides long. RefSeq lists it as uncharacterized. The transcript is spliced from 2 exons. The record is from RefSeq and is a predicted model, not a curated record. NCBI's taxonomy places the organism in Eukaryota, Viridiplantae, Streptophyta, Magnoliopsida, Asparagales, Asparagaceae.